ACUGCUCAGUAACACGUGGACAACCUAACCUACAGAAGGGGAUAACCCCGGGAAACUGGGGAUAAUACCCUAUAGACUAUGGAUGCUGGAAUGCUUCGUAGUUGAAAGGUCCGCCGCUGUAGGAUGGGUCUGCGGCCGAUUAGGUUGUUGUUGGGGUAACGGCCCAACAAGCCUGUAAUCGGUACGGGUUGUGGGAGCAAGAGCCCGGAGAUGGAUUCUGAGACACGAAUCCAGGCCCUACGGGGCGCAGCAGGCGCGAAAACUUUACAAUGCGGGAAACCGUGAUAAGGGAACUCUGAGUGCCCGUAAAAUCGGGCUGUCCAUCAGUUUAAAUAACUGGUGAAGAAAGGGCCGGGCAAGACCGGUGCCAGCCGCCGCGGUAAUACCGGCGGCUCGAGUGGUGGCCACUAUUACUGGGCUUAAAGCGUUCGUAGCUGGUUUGUUAAGUCUCUGGGGAAAUCUUCCGGCUUAACCGGAAGGCGUCUCAGGGAUACUGGCAGACUAGGGACCGGAAGAGGUGAGAGGUACUCCAGGGGUAGGAGUGAAAUCCUGUAAUCCUUGGGGGACCACCUGUGGCGAAGGCGUCUCACCAGAACGGCUCCGACAGUGAGGGACGAAAGCUGGGGGAGCAAACCGGAUUAGAUACCCGGGUAGUCCCAGCCGUAAACGAUGUGCAUUAGGUGUAUCGGUGACCACGAGUCACCGAGGUGCCGAAGAGAAAUCGUGAAAUGCACCGCCUGGGAAGUACGGUCGCAAGGCUGAAACUUAAAGGAAUUGGCGGGGGAGCAC
RNAcentral lists this ribosomal RNA (789 nucleotides) under uncultured archaeon. Its description in RNAcentral is "bacterial SSU rRNA". It matches the Rfam family "Archaeal small subunit ribosomal RNA", at positions 85 to 879 of the family's 1478-position model. The record is from RNAcentral.